CUGCCAGCCGAGGAGCAGGCGCGGCCGCGGCGCCAUAUUGUGGCCCCCAGCGGCCGCGACCGAGUCAUGGCCGAGACCUACGACUUCCUUUUCAAAUUCCUGGUGAUUGGCAGUGCAGGAACCGGCAAAUCAUGUCUCCUUCAUCAGUUCAUUGAGAAUAAGUGUGAGUUUCUGGGGGUGGUCCUGGGAGCAUUGAACCGUGGGCAUGGGCAUGGCGUACGCACUAUGGGGUGGACAGGGGCAGGGCUGGCCAUAGGUCCAACUCCAGUGCUGGCUGCCUGCUCCUUGCCUUGGUGUAUGGCCUUUGCUAGGUCCUCCUUGAGCCUCAGUAACCCCAGCAAUGAGAAUGGGUUUGUACAGGCUGAGGAGGCCUUGGAGGACAGGGAAUCCUCGGAGCUCCUGCACUGCCUCUUCUCUCCCUCCCACUCCCAGUCAAACAGGACUCCAACCACACGAUCGGCGUGGAGUUUGGAUCCCGGGUGGUCAACGUGGGUGGGAAGACUGUGAAGCUGCAGAUUUGGGACACAGCUGGCCAGGAGCGAUUUCGAGGGGGGCAGUCUCGGGGCAGACCCCAGCCUCAGGGGUGACUGGGUCCCCCUGGCCCCACAGGUCGGUGACACGGAGUUACUACCGAGGGGCGGCUGGAGCCCUGCUGGUGUACGACAUCACCAGCCGGGAGACUUACAACUCGCUGGCUGCCUGGCUGACGGAUGCCCGCACGCUGGCCAGCCCCAACAUCGUGGUCAUCCUCUGUGGCAACAAGAAGGACCUGGACCCGGAGCGUGAGGUCACCUUCCUGGAGGCCUCCCGCUUUGCCCAGGAGAACGAGCUGAUGUUCCUGGAAACCAGCGCUCUCACCGGUGAGAACGUGGAGGAGGCUUUCCUGAAGUGUGCUCGCACCAUCCUGAACAAGAUCGACUCAGGCGAGCUCGACCCCGAGAGGAUGGGCUCAGGCAUUCAGUACGGGGACGCCUCCCUUCGCCAGCUGCGGCAGCCUCGGAGCGCCCAGGCCGUGGCCCCUCAGCCCUGUGGCUGCUGAGACCUGCGGAGCCAGAGGAGAGACUGUGGGGGGCAGGAGACCAGCGAAGAGGCUACUGCAAAGUCAAGAUGAGAGACGAUGGUGGACAGGACCAGGCCGGGGGCAGAGGAGGGACUGAGAAGUGGAUAGGCCCACCAAACUGAUUUCCCAGCCCAUUCAUGUGCUGCACACUGGAAUCACCCGGAGAGCCUUAAUGGCUGCUGCAGCCCGGGCCUCACCCCAGAGAUUCUGAAGUGGUUUCGGGAUUUCUAGAAGCUCCCAGCUCACCUGUUCUCCAGGACCAGCCCUGCCCUUCCGGCUGGGGCCCAGUCCCAGGCCCCAGGAGGCCAAGCCCCUCACCUGUCCUGGCCCCGGAGAAGCUGCCCCGCCACCUGUCCCCCUUCCCUGGCCUGGUGGGGCCUGGCUGAGGGGCAAGACUGAGCCACGGGGGAAGGGGGAAUCCGUACCUGCUGCUGCUUCAUCUGUCUUGGCUAACCCCUGUUCCCCCUGAAACCCCAGCCAUACUCGAAGAGUUCCCAAAGCCUGAGACCAGGGCCAUUUGGCCCCAGCUCCCUGCCUGGUCCUGCCAUUGCGAGUACGUGUUAUUUAUUACCUGGAGGCCUGUCCCGUCCCCACCCCGCCCCCAUAAAGCAUUGUUUACA
RNA transcript from Equus quagga, 1680 nucleotides. It is a transcript of the gene named RAB4B, member RAS oncogene family, with no coding region annotated. The record is from RefSeq and is a predicted model, not a curated record. The transcript has 9 exons. Lineage: Eukaryota; Metazoa; Chordata; Mammalia; Perissodactyla; Equidae.